RNAcentral lists this ribosomal RNA (1360 nucleotides) under metagenome. RNAcentral's name for it is "bacterial SSU rRNA". It matches the Rfam family "Bacterial small subunit ribosomal RNA". The record is from RNAcentral.
AGAGUUUGAUCCUGGCUCAGGAUGAACGCUGGCGGCGUGCCUAAUACAUGCAAGUCGAACGAGAACAAUCGGAUCUUCGGAACUGAGAAAUUCUAGUGGCGAACGGGUGAGUAACGCGUUGGUGACCUGCCCCGAAGAGGGGGAUAACAGUUCGAAAGGACUGCUAAUACCCCAUGAGCUCAUGAGAGUUAGAGGUCUUGUGAGGAAAAGGAGAAAUCCGCUUUGGGAGGGGCCUGCGUCCCAUCAGCUAGUUGGUAGGGUAAAAGCCUACCAAGGCGAUGACGGGUAGGGGACCUGAGAGGGUGGCCCCCCACAAUGGAACUGAAACACGGUCCAUACACCUACGGGUGGCAGCAGUAGGGAAUAUUGCUUAAUGGACGAAAGUCUGAAGCAGCAACGCCGCGUGUGCGAUGAAGGCCUUCGGGUUGUAAAGCACUUUUUGUAGGGAUGAGGAAGGACAGUACCUGCAGAAUAAGCCUCGGCUAACUACGUGCCAGCAGCCGCGGUAAAACGUAGGAGGCGAGCGUUAUCCGGAUUUACUGGGCGUAAAGCGCGUGUAGGCGGAUUACUAAGUUGGCUGUGAAAGCUCCUGGCUUAACUAGGAGAGGUCGGUCAAUACUGGUAGUCUAGAGUAUGUGAGAGGGAGGUGGAAUUCCGGGUGUAGUGGUGAAAUGCGUAGAUAUCCGGAGGAACACCAGAGGCGAAAGCGGCCUCCUGGCACAUGACUGACGCUCAGACGCGAAAGCUAGGGGAGCAAACGGGAUUAGAGACCCCGGUAGUCCUAGCUGUAAACGAUGUAGACUUGGCGUUGGUGGGGUCAAACCCAUCAGUGCCGGAGCUAACGCAUUAAGUCUACCGCCUGGGGACUACGGCCGCAAGGUUAAAACUCAAAGGAAUUGACGGGGACCCGCACAAGCAGCGGAGCGUGUGGUUUAAUUCGAUUUACACGAAGAACCUACCAGGGUUUGACAUGCAAGUGGUAGUGAAGCGAAAGCAGAACGACCCCUCGGGGAGCUUGCACAGGUGCUGCAUGGCUGUCGUCAGCUCGUGUCGUGAGAUGUUCGGUUAAGUCCGCUAACGAGCGCAACCCUCGUCGUGUGUUACAAGUGUCACGCGAGACCGCCGGUCAUAAACCGGAGGAAGGUGGGGAUGACGUCAAGUCAGCAUGGCCUUUAUGUCCUGGGCUACACACACGCUACAAUGGCCAGUACAAUUGGUAGCGAAGUCGCGAGGCGGAGCCAAUCCGUAAAAGCUGGCCCCAGUUCAGAUUGUAGGCUGCAACCCGCCUGCAUGAAGAUGGAGUUGCUAGUAACCGCAGGUCAGCAAUACUGCGGUGAAUACGUUCCCGGGUCUUGUACAC